AAAAAAAUAAUAAUAAUAAUAUGGUGUGGUAUGGUGAUGACUAAUGGCUGUGUUGGUGGGGGAAAAUUGGUACGGUGUAUAGGUAAGAGUGGUGGUGAGGGAGAUGUGGAGUAGGUGUAGUUGUGGGAACUAUUAGGUAUGAAAUAGUAUAUCAUGACCGUUACUAUGACAAUAUGGAGUAUGUGUAUAAUGCCUAAAUGAUGUAAAAAAUGAACAGGAAAUAUGUCCAAAAGGUGUCGAAAAAUCCACCAAAAAUAAUAGAAUAGUUUCUAUUACAGCGAAAGUAAUUGUAAAAUAAAUUGUAGCGCAGAAAUAUUAUAAGAAAUAAUAUAAUGAGACUAAAGAAAACAAAGAAAACUAACUUUUAUGGGUUAAGAAUAGAACGGAAGUGACGUAGCACUUAUGCAUAUUCGGUAAGUUAAUUAUGCGACCAAAUUUAGAACGAACGAACGCUUUGACACAAGCCGAUGCGUUACUUUUUGGUUUGGAUCGGGUAUUCGUACCAAGACGUAGGGGCCUAAAGUAGUGUGGUAGUGAGGUGGGUGUAAUCGUAUGGUAUGGUGAUGCUGGAGGGUGAUGGUGAGGGAUGGCUAGUAAGGUGAUGUGGAGUGGAGAUGGUAGUGAGGUAAUUACGGUGGGGAGGUGGAUAGGUUGGACUAGUAGGUGGUGGAGGGUGGUGGAAAGAUAAAGUGGGACUAUAGAAUAGGUUGUGGUAGUGUGUGGUGGGUAGGUGAAAAAGAAAAAAUUAGUACUAAUAUGGUGUGGUAUGGAGAUGGCUAAUGGCUGUGUUGGUGGGGGAAAAAUGGUAUGGUGUAUAGGUAAGAGUGGUGGUGAGGGAGAUGUGGAGUAGGUGUAGUUGUGGGAACUAUUAGGUAUGAAAUAGUAUAUCAUGAUCGUUACUAUGACGAUAUGGAGUAUGAAUAUAAUGCCUAAAUGAUGUAAAAAAUGAACAGGAAAUAUGUCCAAAAGGUGUCGAAAAAUCCACCAAAAAUGAUAGAAUAGUUUCUGUUACAGCGAAAGUAAUUGCAAAAUAAAUUGUAGCGCAGAAAUAUUAUAAGAAAUAAUAUAAUGAGACUAAAGAAAACAAAGAAAACUAACUUUUAUGGGUUAAGAAUAGAACGGAAGUGACGUAGCGCUUAUGCAUAUUCGGUAAGUUAAUUAUGCGACCAAAUUUAGAACGAACGAACGCUUUGACACAAGCCGAUGCGUUACUAUGAAAUAGAUAAGUUCAGGUGAAUGAUGCGAAUUUGCACGGAAAAUAUGUGUAUUGAUGGAGUUACAUGAAAGACAAAGGGUUCUAACAGCGAUGGCAAAAGGUUAGAGUGUAGAAUGAUGCCGCACGUGUUAUAGGAACGGAGAUAAUUGCUUGUUUAAACUCGAGUGACCUCGUGCCUGACUCGAUGAGUGAACUGUUAGUAAAGCAAUUCACAAAGCAGAAACUAGCUUGGAGUUGUGUAUAAGAACAAAAUCAUUCUCCAGAAAAGAAUGUAAAACGGAUCUAACAGAUAUCCCCCAUUCAUAAUGAGGUCGUAUGUGUUAUAGGAACGGAGACAAUUGUUUGUCAAAACUCGAGUUGCCUCGUGCCUGAUUCGAUGAAUAAACCGUAAGUGAAGCAAUUAACAAAGCGGAAACCAGCUUAAAGUUGUGUAUCGGAACAAAAUCAUUCUACAGGAAAGAAUGUAAAUCAAAUCUUAAAUGAUUUAAUAAACGGAGAAGUUAUUGUGUAAGGUUAUGUUCGGGUGGUUAAGAUUAUGGGUUAUGAGACUACGGGUUAAGGUUGUUAUGAGAGAUGGGGUUGAUAAUAAAACGACAUGAGAGUUAUGAAUAGAGGGUUUUUUUUGUUUAGUAGAGAAGGUGGUUAGUAAAUAUGGUAUUAUUUGGAGAUUAAAACAGUUAAAAUCGGAAGCUUGUUGCUAGUGUUGUGUAGCGGAUGUGAAGAGGUCGGCGGCAUUAAUAAAAUCUGAUAAAGGGGGAUAAUGUGAGUGUGAACAGAAUGAUAAGCAGGGAUAUUGUGAAAAGACUGUGUAGUGUUUAUGGGAAAGUGUGUUGUGUGUAGGGUGGGAAAGUAAUGUGUAGGAUAAGAGAAAGAAAAGUGUUUGGAUUGUAGGGAGGAAAUGGUGAGCGGUAAUAGGGGGGGGGGUUAGGUAUGCGUGGAGGUAUGUAUGUAAUGAAGUGUGUAAAUGGUAUGACUGACAGGCGAAAUUAAACAACAACAGAGACCGAAUGAGUGUUGCGAAAACGCCGAGAAAAGAUAAAAAAUUCUGUAGCGGUGAAAGGGUGUAUUGCGGACAAUGGAAAUUGAUGCUAGUAAAACGGCGAGAAGAAGAUGAAGUAGGGGCGCGGGAGGCGACAAAGGGAGCGUGGUGAGAGUGGAGAUGACGCUGAAACGUUAACAAGACAGGAAGGAUAGUUUUCCCCAGAUGAAGCGAUAAUCGGUGGUAAGAGAUAAGGGGAAAAGGCAAAGGCACGAAGAAAACAACCGGCAUGUAUAUGUAAAAUGGACAUAACAAAAUAAACCAAUAAGACAAAAGUGUGUAGGUCAUUUCAAAGAGCUCUGCGAAAUGUAGAACUAAAGGCAUAUAACGCCAACCAAGACUUCUCUUCAGGGGGCGAGGUCUAUUGGUUGGUCAUAUACGAACCUAGAGAUGAAAGCGGGGGGACUUAGGGGAAAGCUAGGGGAAAACCGGCGAUGAUGGUGGGAGUAAAAGGGGAAAAAACUAGGGAGAUGAUUCGUAUAUGAAACGUGUUUCGAAUGAUAAGGCCCUCAUCACCCGCCCCUACACGCUCGUUAGUAAUGCCUCUAGUGUAGCGUGGUGCAUGCAAUGGCCAAACCUGUGUAGCGCCUGGCUCCGGCUGAGUGCAUGGCUUGGUCUGAAAAGUAAAAGGUAGCGCGCCGGGGAAUGAGGUAAAGAGAAAAAAGUGGAUAGAGGCUAAGAUAGGAGGGGGAAGUGUGUAGUGGACAAAAUGGUGCAUGUGAUGGUCCUGGUUAGUGGCUGUAUGUGGUGGACUAAAU
Long non-coding RNA from Nematostella vectensis (starlet sea anemone), 3013 nucleotides. RefSeq lists it as uncharacterized. The transcript has 2 exons. NCBI's taxonomy places the organism in Eukaryota, Metazoa, Cnidaria, Anthozoa, Actiniaria, Edwardsiidae. The record is from RefSeq and is a predicted model, not a curated record.